Non-coding RNA from Cricetulus griseus (Chinese hamster), 3929 nucleotides. NCBI's taxonomy places the organism in Eukaryota, Metazoa, Chordata, Mammalia, Rodentia, Cricetidae. The record is from RefSeq and is a predicted model, not a curated record.
UGGGGGGCCAGGAGGUUGGGGGUGGGGGAGCUAGCUUAGAGAAAAUGGGAGGGCUGGGAGUGAGGGGCAUCAGAGCUUGUCCCUAGAAGGUCUCCCAAGCACCCCUGUCAGGUAGACUAGCUUGUGAUUAGGCUUGGCAACCAGGUAGGUGUGUGGCGAGGGAGGGUUAAAGGAAAAGGCUAGGAGAACUGGAAGAUGGGGACAAGUUGCCUCCGCAUGCCCCAUGUACUUCCCUUAAACAUUCCUGGGACUCUAUCCUAAGGCUCUGUCUUCCCAGAACCUAGUCCCUGGGCUCAGCUUGAACUCUGCCUCCCACACCAGGCCCUUAGCCUUGAGUCCCAUCUUUUAAAGACAUUUGCUUUAACAGCUUGUGGCUAGGAACAGAAGCCUGGAAGUGGAGAGUGCUCUGAGAAAAUAGAGAGCAUCAGAGACAAGGUUAGGCCCUGUGUUUGGAUCUGUAUCUGACCCCUGUGACCAGCAUCCCCUCAAUUUCUUCGAGUGUUCCUCUCCCUUUUCUUGGAGACAAGAUGGGAAGGAUGCAGCAGGGCUUCCAGGAGGAGCUUAGAGAUGGAUGGUUGAAUUUCUGCUAUAAUCAGGCUAGAACCUGGAACUCAGGAUCAUGAAGAGUGAGUAAAGCUGUUGCCCUUGACUGGCCCACAGACCUCCACUGCGUCCACUCCAGUUUGCAGGCCCGCCGAGCGUUCAAAGUUUCCAGUUCGUUUCAGGUGGUGGCGGCAGUCAUUACCGAGGUAGCUGAGCCACGCGCAAGGCCCGCUCCACAUCCAUGUCCUCGCUCUCAAAGUCCACUAAGAUGAUGUUGAAGUUGGAGUCCCCUGUGCGCACGUGCAGCGCGGUCAUAUCUGCCAGGAACUGUACCACCCAGCGAGCCUGGUUCUUCACUGGAAGAGAGGGUGCCACUGAGCCAGCGUGACUGGACAGCAUGGUUUCUCAUUUGGAAGAUGCUUUUCACAGUCACCUAUGCCCUUGGUAUCCCACACCAGCACCGAGGCAUACAUACCUGGCACAAUGAAGUGAACCAUGACAUCCUGACGCCAGGCCAGAUGCAAGGGCCGGCAGAGCUCUGGGCGACUGUCUGGGCGGAUCGAGGCGGCAGGAGGGGGCUCAGGGCUUUCUCCAUACUCAUCCCCGAUACGUGCUCCAGGCAAUCGCAGGAAGACAUACUCCGAUAGACGCUGGCGGCUGCCUCCGCGCUCUUGCAAUUCCAGUUCCAGGAGGAAGCGGCUUCCACGUGCAGAAUCCCGGCGCUUCUCCACGUUGACAAUGCGCAGAAGAGAGAAGCGCCUGCCAGGCAGGGCUGAUUAGCCAAGGGGCAUAAUUCCAUUUAACACCCUCUGCCCUGCCCACUUCACCCCAGAACCACAGCCUCAGACUGCAUAUAACACCUGCAACCUGCUCCAUCCUCCUCAGACACAGGUUGACCUUCCCAUAUCUCCCUUUCUCAGUCCAGCAGUUAAGUAGGGAAGGCUGCACUAGGAGGUGCUGUGAGCCCAGAUUGUCAUGGUCUCCCAGAUGACUUCCUUGCCUGAUUUUCUUUAUCCUGGGGUGCUGUCUCAGUCCUCUCCUGCUAUGAUUAACCUCCUACAGAGCUGUCAGGAGGAUGAUGAUGGUCCUCCCCUGGGGGCACCCCAUCUCCAGCAGGCCCCUCCAUUUUGUCUCAGGCAAGAGUUCUCAGACCUGGGGCUACUCACUCUUCUUCCUACCUUCUUGUGCCGGUUAGUGCUUCUCUACAGUAACCCAUCAGUGUGACUUCAGAUGGGACCAGACUCAUGUGUGUGACUCACUGCCCACCCCAAGUCAGAAACCUCUGCCCUCAAAACCACUCUUGGUUACUCCUUGGGGCUACCCACACCCUAGCACCCAGAUGUGCAAAAGUGAGGUUAUGCCUUGACCACUCAGGGUAGACAGUCCAGUAAAGAGACCAUGGAACUGUCCCCACAAGCUGCUUUCAGGAAAUCUCUGAACUACAUGGGACUGUCCUGCAUCCCUAAUGAUGAGAGGGCCUUAGGCUACCUCAUCACUGCCCUGUUUGAGGACUGUCACGUUCUUGUCCUUUGGAGCAGCAGCACACCUAUGUACAGUCACCAUCCUGUUCAAAACUUCCCGUUGAGCCUGGCUCCUUCUUUCCAUUGGCUAGACACCUUGUCUUGAUGUCCUUGAUUUUUUUCAAGGCCCACACAGGUUUCUACCUUUCCUCAAGGCUGACAAUGUACAGAGCAGACUCUCAUAAGAACUCCCUCAAAGACAAAUUAUGAUCCUAAUCUCCCUCAAAAUGGGGUAGAAUCUUGGAUUCCUAAAACCUGAGAGGCCAAGGGGUCAGUGGGACAAGAGCCCUAGGCUCUCUCCCUUGAGUUAGACAUAGUCCCCUAGACCCUACAAUGCUCUAUGAGGAGAGCUUUUGGUGGUCCUGAGCUCAACCCUUCAGUGUCUCUGAACCCUGAAAAGACUGCCUGUGACCUGGCUGAGCCUGAAAACUGUUCCUUGUAGUCUGGAUUCAUCCUAGAGUCUAGGUUCAAGGUGAUGGAUUUGGGGCUUGGCAGUGAAGGGAUAUGAAGCCAGUUUUGAGUGGAGCUCCAGAGAGCCCUUCAACCUGGGCAAAGCAGAACAGUAAAACACUCCUCACUGGAGAAGGAAAAGGGGGUCAGAGAGCCGCUGAGAGCCAAGGAAGGUCUGAGGUUCCUGCGGGGAACAGCAUGCCCUCUCUCCAAGCAGCAACCUGCCCCAUACCCGCCAUGGCGUGCAUUAAGCCGCUCCAUGUACUGAGCCACCACAUCCACCGCCUCCGCCUCAGGAAGCUGCAGGUUCCCCGAGACGUUGCAGCGCAGGUCGUUCCAGUCAGAACGCAGCAGCUCGAAGUCCAUGGCACCCACGCUGAAUGUGCGCUGCCAGUUAAUGGCAUCCUCGCGCCAGCGGCCCAUGGGCCGCCCAGCAGCCUGUUCCUCCUCUUCCUCACUAUCUUCUGAUGUAGCCUCAUCACCAGGGGCCCCAUCAUCCUCCCCUUCUUCACCCUCUCCAGGCAGCUGUGGCCUGGACACCUGAGACAAGCUCAGGAAGGAAGUCACAGGCUGUGUUUCCGCUGAGGAGUUCAAGUCCACUGUGGGCACCAUGAGUCCCUGACCAUGCAACUGGCCCUCUUGGCCUCCCUGGGUGGUCUUUGCCCUGACUGGGGGCUUUAGUUCUGUGACCUUGGAGCCACUGGUCCUAUAGCCCUGGGUCCGCGGUGGAUGUGGGGGUGUCCGCAGCUGCACUCUGGGCAGAGGCUUGGGGUGUAGGAAGAUGCCAGGGAAGGGCGGCCAGGGUGAGUCUCUCAGUGCCCUUGGGGAAGUCCGCUGUCCAGGUCGCACCCUGGUCACAUACACCUUUGAGGGAGACUUCUCCACAGUUCGGGGAGGUGGAGCUCUCCCCAAGAAAAGGGGCAGGGAGCGUGAGGCCCAAUUCAGUGCCCGGGAGUGUCUGGGGGUCUGCUCAUCCAGAGGACUGGUCAUGGGUAGGGUAGGGGUGUCUGUAGUUCCAGGGGAGGCUGUUGGGGUGGGGGUCUUGUGACUCUGUCGUAGGGAUGCAUCAGUGGGCUCCAGACUGUCUAACAGUUCCUGCUCAUCCUCGUCAUCAAGGAAGUCUGUAGAGAGUGUCUGGUAAGUAAAAACCCAAACCUGAAGGAGAAAGGGCAUCAGAGACCUUCCUCAUUGAGGCUCCUCCUCCUCACUUCUGAUAGGACAACCCCCGCCCCCAACCUACCUUUCCAGACUGCAGAUGCAAUGUGACCAGUUGCCUCACACACCUGCCGCCAGGACGCCCCCUCCACAAUGGCCUGAACCCUCAAACUUCGAGCCCAAACAAACCCUUCCUUAAGUUGCUUCUUGCCAAGUACUUAGUUACAUCGAUAAUCAUGGCAAUAAAAAGGUAACAAUAUA